This 206-nucleotide unclassified non-coding RNA is filed under the name Hevea brasiliensis (rubber tree). Lineage: Eukaryota; Viridiplantae; Streptophyta; Magnoliopsida; Malpighiales; Euphorbiaceae. The record is from RNAcentral.
CGGAUAUGAAUUUGGAUUUGGAUUGUCUUUCAGUGAAGCGUCAGUUUGAGGUUUUGAAAAUAGAGAAUGGAUUAUUGAAAAAGAGCAUUGACGAUCUUAGGAAACAAAUGAAAUUGUUUUCCAAUUCCGGCCGCCGGUUCAAGGGCAGAAAGGCGUCGGAGUUGGGCGGUUUUGAUGGGCUCCCUCCAGACGAUGCGGCGGCGACG